This 465-nucleotide ribosomal RNA is filed under the name uncultured bacterium. RNAcentral's name for it is "partial 16S ribosomal RNA". It matches the Rfam family "Bacterial small subunit ribosomal RNA", at positions 28 to 507 of the family's 1533-position model. The record is from RNAcentral.
GACGAACGCUGGCGGCGUGCUUAACACAUGCAAGUCGAACGGAAAGGCCCCUUUGGGGGUACUCGAGUGGCGAACGGGUGAGUAACACGUGAGUAACCUUCCCUUUACUUCGGGAUAACUUCAGGAAACUGGGGCUAAUACCGGAUAGGAAUCCUUGCUGCAUGGUGGGGGUUGGAAAGCUUCGGCGGUUUUGGAUGGACUCGCGGCUUAUCGGCUUGUUGGUGGGGUAGUGGCUUACCAAGGCUUUGACGGGUAGCCGGCCUGAGAGGGCGACCGGCCACAUUGGGACUGAGAUACGGCCCAGACGCCUACGGGAGGCAGCAGUGGGGAAUAUUGCACAAUGGGCGGAAGCCUGAUGCAGCAACGCCGCGGGCGGGAUGACGGCCUUCGGGUUGUAAACCGCUUUCAGCAGGGGCGAAGCUUGUGGUGACGGUACCUGCAGAAGAAGCACCGGCUAACUACGUG